GACGACGCUGGCGGCGUGCUUAAAACAUGCAAGUCGAACGGACUUCUCAUGAAGCUUGCGAUUGAGAAGUUAGUGGCGGACGGGUGAGUAACGCGUGGGCAACCCUGCCCCUGAGCCCGGGAUAACAGUUCGAAAGGACUGCUAAGACCGGAUAUACUUGCGGGGAAGCAUUUCACUGCAAGGAAAGGGAACGCUCAGGGAUGGGCCCGCGUCCCAUUAGCUAGUUGGUGAGGUAACGGCCCACCAAGGCGACGAUGGGUAGCCGGCCUGAGAGGGUGAACGGCCACACUGGGACUGAGACACGGCCCAGACUCCUACGGGAGGCAGCAGUUGGGAAUCUUCGGCAAUGGGCGCAAGCCUGACCGAGCAACGCCGCGUGAGUGAUGAAGGUUUUCGGAUUGUAAAGCUCUGUCUUCCGGGACGAUAAUGACGGUACCGGAGGAGGAAGCCACGGCUAACUACGUG
RNAcentral lists this ribosomal RNA (465 nucleotides) under uncultured bacterium. Its description in RNAcentral is "bacterial SSU rRNA". It matches the Rfam family "Bacterial small subunit ribosomal RNA", at positions 33 to 507 of the family's 1533-position model. The record is from RNAcentral.